RNAcentral lists this long non-coding RNA (233 nucleotides) under Mytilus galloprovincialis (Mediterranean mussel). The record is from RNAcentral. Lineage: Eukaryota; Metazoa; Mollusca; Bivalvia; Mytilida; Mytilidae.
AUCACCCCUAGUUUUUGGUGGGGUUCGUGUUGUUUAUUCUUUAGUUUUCUAUGUUGUGUCAUGUGUAAUAUUGUUUGUCUUUUUUUUCAUUUUUAGCCAUGGCGUUGUCAGUUUGUUUUAGAUUUAUGAGUUUGACUGUCCCUUUGGUAUCUUUCGUCCCUCUUUUAUACCAAAGUUAAUCAUGAUAUGCCUUAUGUUUUUAUAUUUGAAAUUUAUAUGCCAAUUUAUUGUUG